RNA transcript from Mus musculus (house mouse), 1361 nucleotides. It is a transcript of the gene named transmembrane protein 192, with no coding region annotated. The transcript is spliced from 6 exons. Lineage: Eukaryota; Metazoa; Chordata; Mammalia; Rodentia; Muridae. The record is from RefSeq and is marked validated.
GGGCGUGGCCUUCGGCGGCCGGGGCGGGGCGAGCGCAGAGUGGGUGUGUCCGAGGCGGGGCGCGCAGGUCCUAGUAGGUGCGACUGUCCCGGGCCGUCGGCGCCCGGGCGCUGGUGGAGAGGUCAGGCUGGCGGGGCAUCGGCCCGCGACGGCGGGUCAUGGCGGCGGCCGGCCGGCUGGAGGACAGUUCCUUGGAUAUCCUACAAAGUAUGGAUGACGACCCGCUUCUGGAUACCCAGCCUCUCCCACACCACUCUCUCCAAGCUCAGUUUAGACCCAGAUUCCAUCCUCUCCCCACGGUCAUCAUAGCGAACCUUCUGUUGCUUAUACAUGUCGUGUUUGUUGUUUUAGCAUUUUUAACGGGUGUGCCGUGUUUGUAUCCUAAUCCAACUGAAGACAAGUGCCCAGAAAACUACACCAGCCCGUUGAAGGUUCAGACGGCCAUAAUCCUUGGGAAACUUAUCCUGUGGAUUCUGCAUUUGCUUUUUGAACGCUACGUCCAGUAUCACCACAGGAAAGUCAGGAGCCGAGGCUAUUCCCAGAUCUACCGCUCUACGAGGCAUCUCAAAACACUGGCCCUCACCAUCCACUCUUCUGGCAACACAGCCCUGCUCCUCCUCCUCUGUGUGCAGCACUCCUUCCCUGAGCCCAGCAAGCUGUACCUUGAGCUGAUUCUGGCUGUCCUGGCCCUGGAGCUGAUCUGUUCCCUGAGCUGUCUGAUCCUCUAUAUAGGUGAGAACGGAAGCCGCUGUCCUGCAACCUCUGCCUGCCUCCUCUGCCUGCCUCUCGUCUGUACAGUCAGAGAAGCACAGCCUGUUUUGGCGGACGUCUUCCCCCUUAGCCGAGGACUCCUUUAGCACCCCUGUCAUUUACUUAUGACCACUUCUGGUCACCUCUCCUUCCAGACCAACAGGAUGAGACAGCCACUACCAUGAAGAUUAGGAGGUUCAACAGAGCCAAGCCACUGCCUGAUGUACUUGAAGAAGAGAAAAUUUAUGCUUACCCCAGCAAUACUGCCUCAGAGACUGGCUUCAGGACUGUUUCAAGCCUAGAAGAAAUUGUUGAAAAGCAAGAGGACAUAAUUGUGUACCUGAAGCGACACAAUGCUCUGCUGAGUAAGCGGUUGUUGGAGCUGGCAACUCAGCCAGCCAGGACUUGAGAGGCUCGUGGGCAUGAGAGCCGCUGAGUCCACAGUGACUGCAGACUGCCCGGCUGCCACAGGAAACCCCAGCCUUUGCCGACGUCGCGUCCACAGUGCAUGCUGGGAACCUGAAUCCAGUUCUACCUAUGUAGAGCUAUGUAUGUCCCAGAUAUGGGGGCGAGCCUCUGAGUGGAUUAUAAAGGUCUGGAAAACUUGCGAA